GGGUUAGGGUAAGGUAUAGAAAAGGUUAAGUUUAGGUAUGGGUUUUGGGAUGGUUAAGGUUAGGGUUAGGGUUAGGGUAAGGUAUAGAAAAGGUUAAGUUUAGGUAUGGGUUUUGGGAUGGUUAAGGUUAGGGUUAGGGUUAGGGUUAGGGUUAGGGUAAGGUAUAGAAAAGGUUAAGUUUAGGUAGGUCUGUCAACUCAACUUAGGAUCAGGCAAAGCCCUUGAGUUGCGUCCCUUAUGCAGGUCCGGUCCUCGGUUGGUUGCCAUGUGUCCAUGUCGAGUGGUAUGAUCAUGAUGUCCAGGUCCGCUAUGUCAACGGAGGUGGAAAGCAUAGUGCAACCUAGGAGUUUUACUCCCUUACGGAUCCUUCUUCUUUAGCUCCAUGUUGUCUAUGUAUCCACUUCAGUGUUCGUCAGUCUUUGGUCCUGGAUGUUUUCAAUCAUGUGUAUGAUUGGGAAUUAUUCCCUUCCAGGAUCCUAAUUCCAAAUCAACCCAUGUCUAGUCGAAUCCAGCUGGUCUGUAUGGGUAUACUCGGCGUAGGAUCAGGCAAAACCAUCGAGUUGCGUACCUUGUGCAGGUCCGGACCUCAGUCGGUUGCCAU
Oncorhynchus keta (chum salmon) is the source of this 601-nucleotide long non-coding RNA. RefSeq lists it as uncharacterized. The record is from RefSeq and is a predicted model, not a curated record. NCBI's taxonomy places the organism in Eukaryota, Metazoa, Chordata, Actinopteri, Salmoniformes, Salmonidae. The transcript has 3 exons.